This 420-nucleotide ribosomal RNA is filed under the name uncultured eukaryote. Its description in RNAcentral is "partial 18S ribosomal RNA". It matches the Rfam family "Eukaryotic small subunit ribosomal RNA", at positions 1470 to 1796 of the family's 1831-position model. The record is from RNAcentral.
CCCUUAGUUAUCCUAGGUCGCACGCGCCAUACAAUGUGGCGCACAACGAGUCUCCUUGGCCGACAGGAUGUCCCGCGAGCGAUCGGCGACGCAGCCAGCUCGGUCUUCGGGCAGACUCGGUGAGAGUGGCCCGUCCUCCUGAGAGGGCGAUCGUCGAUGCCUCGGGAUUCUGGGCAAUCUGGCAGAGCGCUACGUGACUGGGCUAGACUUUUGUAAUUUUUGGUCUUGAACGAGGAAUGCCUAGUAAUCGCAGGUCAGCAUCCUGCGAUGAUUCGGUCCCUGCCCUUUGUACACACCGCCCGUCGCUCCAUCCGUGGCAUGCGCCGGUGAAGAGGGGGAGGCAGCGUCGGCCGUGUAACAGCGGAUCGUACGUGGAACCCCUCUGAACCUUCGCACGUAGGGGAAGGAGAAGUCGUAACA